This 867-nucleotide ribosomal RNA is filed under the name Diplocladiella scalaroides. RNAcentral's name for it is "SSU rRNA". It matches the Rfam family "Eukaryotic small subunit ribosomal RNA", at positions 71 to 946 of the family's 1831-position model. The record is from RNAcentral. Lineage: Eukaryota; Fungi; Ascomycota.
CAUUUAUACAGUGAAACUGCGAAUGGCUCAUUAAAUCAGUUAUCGUUUAUUUGAUAGUACCUUUACUACUUGGAUAACCGUGGUAAUUCUAGAGCUAAUACAUGCUAAAAAUCCCGACUGUUUGGAAGGGAUGUAUUUAUUAGAUAAAAAAUCAAUGCUCUUUGAGCUCUUUGAUGAUUCAUAAUAACUUUUCGAAUCGCAUGGCCUUGUGCUGGCGAUGGUUCAUUCAAAUUUCUGCCCUAUCAACUUUCGAUGGUAGGAUAGUGGCCUACCAUGGUUUCAACGGGUAACGGGGAAUAAGGGUUCGAUUCCGGAGAGGGAGCCUGAGAAACGGCUACCACAUCCAAGGAAGGCAGCAGGCGCGCAAAUUACCCAAUCCCGACACGGGGAGGUAGUGACAAUACAUAACGAUACAGGGCCCUUUCGGGUCUUGUAAUUGGAAUGAGUACAAUGUAAAUACCUUAACGAGGAACAAUUGGAGGGCAAGUCUGGUGCCAGCAGCCGCGGUAAUUCCAGCUCCAAUAGCGUAUAUUAAAGUUGUUGCAGUUAAAAAGCUCGUAGUUGAACUUUGGGCUUGGUUGGCCGGUCCGCCUUUUUGGCGAGUACUGGACCCAACCGAGCCUUUCCUUCUGGCUAACCAUUCGCCCUUGUGGUGUUUGGCGAACCAGGACUUUUACUUUGAAAAAAUUAGAGUGUUCAAAGCAGGCCUUUGCUCGAAUAUAUUAGCAUGGAAUAAUAGAAUAGGACGUUAUGGUUCUAUUUUGUUGGUUUCUAGGACCAUCGUAAUGAUUAAUAGGGACGGUCGGGGGCAUCAGUAUUCAGUUGUCAGAGGUGAAAUUCUUAGAUUUACUGAAGACUAACUACUGC